This 1227-nucleotide long non-coding RNA is filed under the name Heterocephalus glaber (naked mole-rat). RNAcentral's name for it is "lncRNA (ENSHGLG00100047669.1)". The record is from RNAcentral. Lineage: Eukaryota; Metazoa; Chordata; Mammalia; Rodentia; Bathyergidae.
AGAGAGCCAAGGAGAGAAGGGCCAGGGAGGACACAGCUGGCUGGCUGCCUGAGGCCCCAGGGUCCUUCCUGGCUCCCUGUCCAGGCUCCACCCACAGUCACAGCAAUGCCUGGAACCUUCUAGGACAGCCAGAUCCUGACCUACCAGUAUGGGAUCCCCACCUCUCUCCGGAACACAGGCCAGCAGUGGGACUUCCCUAAUGGCUGGGCCCCUCUCCAGGACCUGGUCAUCAGAGGCUUGGCCAAGUCAUCUUCACCUCGGACCCAGGAAGUGGCUUUCCAGCUGGCCCAGAAUUGGAUUCGAACCAACUUUGACGUCUACUCACAAAAGUCAGCCAUGUAUGAGAAGUACCGGGAUUGAACUCAGAACCUUGUGCUUGUGAGGCAGGUUAAUUUUUACCAGCUGUUCCUCAGACAAAGGUCUACUAUCUAAAAUAUAUAAAGAACUAAAAAAAAAUCAUACGCUCCAAAUAUAAAGACCCAGUUCAAAAAUGGGCAUCUGAAAUGAACAGACGUUUCUCAAAGAAGUAAAAGCAGCAAAUAAAUAUAUGAAAAAAUGUUCAACGUCACUGGUCAUUCAAGAGAUGCAGAUGAAAACAACACUGAGAUUCCAUCUCACCCCAGUAAGAAUGGCUGCUAUCAAGAAAUCAACCAAUAACAAAUGCUGGCAGGGUUUUGGGGGAAAAAGGAACCCUGCUCCACUGCUGGUGGGAGUGCAGACUGGUGCAACCACUGUGGAAAUCAGUGUGGAGAUACCUCAAAGAACUAGGACUAGAGGUCCCAUUUGACCCCGCUAUUCCUCUGCUGGGUAUCUUCCCAAAAGAAGUCAAAGAAUGAUACCACAGUGAUAUAUGCUCACCCAUGUUUAUAGCAGCAGAGUUUGUAAUAGCUAAAACUUGGAAACAGCCCAAGUGCACAUCAACUGGAGACUGGAUAAACAAGAUGUGGUUUUUUUAAUAAAAUGGAGUACUUACUACUUGCCCAUAAAGAAUGAGAAACUAGAGACAUUUAUAGAUAAAUGGAUGCAUAUUGAGGCCAUACUCUUAAGUGAAAUAAAUAGGACACACAUGUGUAAAUACCGAAUAGUUUCUCUGGUGUGAAAAACUAAAAGUGUAAAUAAGGAUCAAAAUGUAUAAUUGAUAUUGUGAAAUAGGAAGAAAACAUCUAAAGGAGUAAGGGAAGUGGGAGGGGUAGGGAAAAGGAAAGAAGGGAAAAGAAAAAAUAUGAG